RNAcentral lists this small nuclear RNA (107 nucleotides) under Zalophus californianus (California sea lion). The record is from RNAcentral. Lineage: Eukaryota; Metazoa; Chordata; Mammalia; Carnivora; Otariidae.
GUGCUUGCUUCGGCAGCACAUCUACUAAAAUUGGGACAAUACAGAGAAGAUUAGCAUGGCCCCUGCACAAGGAUGACAUGCAAAUUCACAAAGUGUUCUGUAUUUAA